GACGAACGCUGGCGGCGUGCUUAACACAUGCAAGUCGAGCGGAGCGGCGAACGGGUGAGUAACGAGUGAGUAACUGCCCCCCUCUCUGGGAUAACAGUUGGAAACGGCUGCUAAUAUCGGAUAGUGGGGGAUGACUCGCGCCCUAUCAGCUUGUUGGUGGGGUAGUGGCCUACCAAGGCGACGCCGGGUAGCAGGCCUGAGAGGGCGACCGGCCACAAUGAGCUGAGAGACGGCCCAAACUCCUUCGGGAGGCAGCAGGGAGGGAUAUUGCACAAUGGGGGAAACCCUGAUGCAGCAACGCGCGUGCGGGAUGACGGCCUUCGGGUUGUAAUCGGCUUUCAGCAAUGACGCGGUAGUGGCAGAAGAAGCACCGGCUAACUACGUGCCAGCAGCCGCGGUAAUUC
RNAcentral lists this ribosomal RNA (404 nucleotides) under uncultured bacterium. RNAcentral's name for it is "partial 16S ribosomal RNA". It matches the Rfam family "Bacterial small subunit ribosomal RNA", at positions 28 to 526 of the family's 1533-position model. The record is from RNAcentral.